This is a long non-coding RNA of Phyllopteryx taeniolatus (common seadragon), 5032 nucleotides long. RefSeq lists it as uncharacterized. The record is from RefSeq and is a predicted model, not a curated record. Lineage: Eukaryota; Metazoa; Chordata; Actinopteri; Syngnathiformes; Syngnathidae. The transcript is spliced from 3 exons.
GGAGGGUGUGGGGGUUGGCUAUUAAUGUUCUUCAAUGGGUGAAAUAUUUUUUCUGGCAACUAGAACACGCGACACUGCCUGCAGAGCCACUGCAGUGUGCGCUGCAGCGAGGGGAUGGGAGGGAGUGUGUGAUGGAGAGAUAGAGGGCGAGGGAGCAGGAGUGAGAGAUAUUGAAGGGAGAAAGGAGGGAGAAGUGAGGAGAGUGCGCAUGUGCAGCGGUGAGGUGCGCUCGCCUGGAACCGACGAAGAAGGAGGAAUAGGAGGAGGAGGUGUUGUUGUGAGCGGGGCACAGGAGAGCGGGACGACGAGAAAAAAAAGCGAGGUCCGACUAGAUUAAAGACCCAGGCCCAGGAGGACUGAAUAAGCCACACCAGGGAGGAAGAGGAAGGAUGGAGAGAGCCGACAGAGACGCUCCGACACACACCGGAGGAGGCAGAGCGACGGCGUGAAGGACAAAAGACGAGGGAUGCGGACGUGCCUCCACCUUGCCUCCUCCAUCUUAACAUUCCUGCUGCCGUCAUCCUGCUGGGAACCAGACCUCGCAUCCCCAAAGCAGAGAAAUCUUCAAGACAGGACCUGAAAGAGGCUUAAGGAUGUCGGAACAGCCGCCCAGGACUGCUGUUUGGAUGUGAACUGCCUCCCAUCCUCAAAGAUCUUUUGCUUGAGGAUGCUCCAAAGGUUCUUACUAGGGUUGAGGUCAGGGGAAGAUGGGGGUCACAACAUGACUUUCUCUCCUUUUAUGCCCGUAGCAGCAAAUGAAGCAGAGCUAUACCUUGCAACGUGAGACUGUCCACUGAUGAUUGCCGUGCAAGCCUGGAUGGUCCAGAUGGGUGGAGUAGUGGAUGCUUGGUGGAAGGCCACCAUGUCCCAACAAGGCUGCGACGUCAGCAAGGAGGUGGCAGACUGGCGGAGUCACAUAUUUGGCCGGAAACGUGCCAGGGAAAGCGCUUGUUGGCCCCUUUAGGGUCCCUGAAGGUGUGAAAGUGAAUAGUACUGUAUAUGGACUUUCUGACUGAUCAGUUUCCACCUUGGUGCGAAAAGAAGAACAGUGCUUUCAUUUAGAAAAUGAUCUUCAAGUAUGACAAUGCACCAACUCAAAAGAAAUUCAAGCAGAAACUCUCCAAAAAGUCACAAUUUUAAUGGAUAUAAGAAUUGUGAAGUUGCUAUCAAAUAAGGGGCCCUAUGUCAAAAUGUAACUUGACUUAUGAUUUGUUUUAAAUUGAAAUAGCUUUUGAAUCCAGUAAAUAUGACCUCUUAAUGCUGCAAAUUCAAUAAAUGACUAUUUUCAGUUCUUUAAAACCUGUCUAAUGUCUUGAAACUCUGUUGCUUUAUUUUUCAAAAAAUACUAUUAUCAUUGGGAGGUUUGUUCAAAAAUAUUUGAAUUAUAUUCCGGCUGGUCGGCACGGUGAACGACUGGUUAGAGCGUCAGCCUCGCAGUUCUGAGGACCCGGGUUCAAUCCCCGGCCCCAUCUGUGUGGAGUUUGCAUGUUCUCCCCGUGCCUGCGUGGGUUUUCUCAGGGCACUCCGGUUUCCUCCCACAUCCCGAAGAAAUGCAUUAAUCGGAGACUCUAAAUUGCCCGUAGGUGUGAACGUGAGUGCGAAUGGUUGUUUGUUUGUUUGUAUGUGCCCUGUGAUUGGCUGGCAACCAGUUCAGGGUGUACCCCGCCUCCUGCCCGAUGAUAGCUAGAAUAGGCUCCAGCACGCCCGCGACCCUAGUGAGGAGAAGCGGCUCAGAAAAUGAAUGGAUGGAUAUAUUCUGGCUGUUGAUGACUUGAAAAUUAUGCCAGCUGUCAUUUCCAUCAACUAUUUAGGAAAAUCAGAAAAAUAUAACUUGCCUAUUAAUUUGGAACACAGUGUAAAGAGAGAGGAAAAAUCAGAGUGUCCGCAUCAAUAGUUUUAAAAAGUAGAAGGAAAAAAAGCAUUCUACUAAUACCAGCGCAUUGAUUUUUUUGUAAACAAUCCCACUAAACUGUCAUGAGAACAGGCUUGAGUAUGCAUGAGAUGAUGUUUGUGUCUGAUAUCUGCUUGCCAUGCGUUUGUUUGUCAGCUCAAUGGAAUGAAAAGCAUGGGUCACAAUGAGGGUGACAAUGCUGUGCACAUGGAAAUGUGUAAUAAGUGUGUGUGUGUGUGUGUGUGUGUGUGUGCGUGCGUGUGUGUUUGUGUGUGCAUCCAGUUGCCAUCGUCCUAAUGUUUGUGAUGACAAUCAGCAUGUCAGAUGCCUACCUUGAUUUCAUUAGCGUCAUGAUGGCCUGGCACAUGCACCCAGAGAGGAGGCUGCAAACACGUCACCGGGAUAGCUGCAGGAAAAUCUGCGCCGGUUUGCACUUUUCACGCGGUAGCCAGGGUUGGGAUCAGCUCUUUACAUAACAGCAGGGGGCUAACGUCGAUUAGGAUGGAGGCUGCUCCAAAGCCGGCCCAUCUGCAGGACGAGGCUGGUCUCUUAUCAGCCUGGCUCGUGUCGUGUUGUCUGCAAAUCAGAGAGGGAUCACCCGCAUGCUUGACGCUGGUGAACCCUCGCGUAGGACAGAAAUCCCUUGGGAUCCGUUCCCAUGCGUUUGAGAGCUCCGAGGAUGACGGCGCGUUGACAGAGAGCAGGAAGCAUGUCUGCCACAGUCACCUGCUCUCACCAGACGUCUGUUUAUUUAACAUCUUCACUGUCACACGAAUGUCUUUCUACAUUAAAAGAGCUGUAGCAAACACAUGCUGCCUCUGCAAAGUUAUUAAUGCUCUUUUUCAACAGUGUUUCGUUUAACUAUGUCCACAGAUGGCAAAAGUAAUCACACCUUGUACUUAAGUAGAAAUUCAGAUACAGCGGUACCUUGACUUACGAGCUUGAUUCGUUCCGUGACCAAGGUCGUAACGCCAUUUAAAAUUCCAGGACAGGAGUCACAAAGCAUAUGUUUCAAAUACAAACUACAAACUACCACUUUUCCCCUUCGUUGUGGGCCACAGUCGAACCAGCACAUCUACAAAGAGAUUCUGUGGCGUUAGUUUCGUUCAAUGUGAGAGAAGAAGCCAGAGUUGUGGCAGAACCACUCAUGGCUGCUUCACCAUGACAACGCGCCUGCGCACAAUGAGCAUCUGACAGUUCCUGAAUAAGAUCGAGAAUAAGAUCACCGUGCCAUAACAAACUUCUUCCUCGCCCGACCUGGCUCCAUGUGAUUUUCAUUUCCUCUUUCCCGAGCUCAAGGACAUUAUCAAAGGGACUCGUUUUAAAGAUGUGGACCACAUCAAGAUCGCCGUGAGGACGGGGAUGCGGAGGGUCCCGGAAGAAGGCUGGGAAAGCACGCAAGACUCCAGGGGGAUUACUUCAAAGGAGAAAACUUGGAUUUGAAAUAUAACUUAUAGCAGAACAGUCCUGAAACCUUUCUGACACACCUCGUACAGUAUAUCUACUUCAUGUUCUCCAAUCCCAUUGCAAUGAAUUAAAAUUCAAUUCAUCGGUUGUUAUGUGUUCAUUAAUGAAGAAGAAUAGCACUGUUUUGUAUAUAAGAAAAAAUAACUGAAUAAAAGCAAAUGAAGACAUAAACUGGUUUUAUAAAGCGUCAUUGUUGUACGUUGGGACAAGCUGAGUCACAACAACAAGCGUGAGUUUUGGACUACUGUAGCUAAAUGCGUUGGCUCAGGUUGUUAUGCCUUUCGAACCAUGUGUUCCAAUAGCUUUGCUAACAUUUUGAGCUUACUAACAAAAACAAUGCUAAAUUAGCUGAUCAUAACCACUGGAAAAAAGAAAAAAAAAAUCACCUGUUUGUGUUUUUUCAGAUUAGAUGGCCAAUGUUUGAAGGUCGGAAGCUAGAGGGGUUUUUUUUUGACACGAUGUACUCACCACGAAUCAUUCUUGGAGUCUGCAAAAUCAAAUCUUUUACUUCAAUUAGUUUAUGGAUGGGCAGUAUUUUGCUUCUGCAGAUCUGUUUUGUCAUUGACGCUCCCAGGUCAUGUUCGCCACGGUGCUGCUGUCCUUGUUUUACUGCCUUAUAAAUGCCAAAGAUGUCAAGAUCUCAACUGCGGUGGACUUUAUUUACUUUACGCUCUUAGUUUACAUCUUUUUUUGUGUCAUAAUGUCAUUCGUGAGGAUUGAAAACAGUAACGAGUCUAUAUUACAAAGUAAGGAGUAGAAAGCACAGAUAUUUGUUUUCAAAUGUAGGGAAUACAAGUCAAAAAAUCAUCAGGAAAAAAAGACUUGAGUAAAGCACAGAUAGUUGAAAAAUCUACUUAAGUACAGUAAAAAAGUACUGUAUUUCUACUUUGUUACUUCCAACCACUGUCAAUGUGUAAUCUUGUUACUGUAGUUCCAUUCUUUAUUUGCAGUAUAUGGAUUCUAAAAACAGUUGGAGACGGUUCGAAGCAAAUCUGUUGCCGCAAUUAAGUCAAACAAUAACUAGUCUGCCCCUGGAGCAUGAAGUAACUCGAUCGUUGAGUCAUGCUAAAAGAAAACAUUUGUACCUGGACCCAGGCCAAAGUGCUCCUUUUAUCAUCCGAUCAACGCUGCGGUGUGGUUUUACAAUACUACAUAAAGCACAAUACACUGCGAUGUCAUCGAGUCUCUCACACAUGACCACUUGACUGUCCCUUGCUUUCAGGACAAGUACAGUACAUGUCCCGGAAGCGAGCAUCCCUUGAUUUUGCAACGCAUUCAAGUUUCAUUUAUAAAGUGAAAAAAUGGCUGGUCUCCGACUUUGUAUAGGUUGGAAGUAUACCAGGACAACUACAGUAUAGUACUCGCUCUUCAAUUUCUCAUCCCAAUACAACGUAUUUGAAUAGUAGGGUUAGAGUUAGGCUUAGGGAUAAGAUGGUCUAUUUCUUUACAUUAACUUUGUAAAUGACUCACUAUUGUGUAUUCAAUAUAAAAUGCAAUGGUAUGAUUUUUACCACAGCUUUCUCUGCACGAUCUACAGCAAAAUUUCCAUCGGUGAUAUUUGCCUCAGUCGGCACAGAUAUGGCUCACGAUAAAUGUCACAAGACUUCAUGCCUGCUGACAACCAGCAAUGUGUCCUUGUGAAUCCACAUGUGAGCAAAACCGUUCCUUGUCUUG